This 482-nucleotide ribosomal RNA is filed under the name uncultured Desulfobulbus sp. Its description in RNAcentral is "bacterial SSU rRNA". It matches the Rfam family "Bacterial small subunit ribosomal RNA", at positions 904 to 1382 of the family's 1533-position model. The record is from RNAcentral. Lineage: Bacteria; Pseudomonadati; Thermodesulfobacteriota; Desulfobulbia; Desulfobulbales; Desulfobulbaceae.
AACUUAAGGAAUUGACGGGGGCCCGCACAAGCGGAGGAGCAUGUGGUUUAAUUCGAUGAUACGCGAGGAACCUUACCUGGGCUCGAACGUAAGAUGACUGUAGGUGAAAGCUUACAUCUCUUCGGAGCAUUUUACGAGGUGCUGCAUGGUUGUCGUCAGCUCGUGCCGUGAGGUGUCGGGUUAAGUCCCGCAACGAGCGCAACCCUUGCCUUUAGUUGCCAGCAGUUCGGCUGGGCACUCUAAAGGGACUGCCGGUGUUAAACCGGAGGAAGGUGGGGAUGACGUCAAGUCCUCAUGGCCUUUAUGACCAGGGCUACACACGUACUACAAUGGCCGAUACAAAGGGCAGCGACACUGCGAGGUGAAGCCAAUCCCGUAAAAUCGGUCUCAGUCCGGAUUGGAGUCUGCAACUCGACUCCAUGAAGUUGGAAUCGCUAGUAAUCGUGGAUCAGCAUGCCACGGUGAAUACGUUCCCGGGCCUU